CGCGCAGGCGGCAUGGCAAGUAAGGUGUGAAAUCUCCCUGCUCAACGGGGAGGGUGCACUUUAGACUGCCAAGCUAGAGGACGGUAGAGGGGGGUAGAAUUGCUGGUGUAGCGGUGAAAUGCGUAGAGAUCAGCAGGAAUACCCGUGGCGAAGGCGGCCCCCUGGGCCGAACCUGACGCUGAGGCGCGAAGGCUAGGGGAGCGAACGGGAUUAGAUACCCCGGUAGUCCUAGCAGUAAACGAUGGCCACUAGGUGUGGGGGGUGUUGACCCCUUCCGUGCCGAAGCUAACGCAUUAAGUGGCCCGCCUGGGGAGUACGGUCGCAAGACUAAA
This 332-nucleotide ribosomal RNA is filed under the name uncultured Thermovenabulum sp. RNAcentral describes it as "bacterial SSU rRNA". It matches the Rfam family "Bacterial small subunit ribosomal RNA", at positions 568 to 898 of the family's 1533-position model. The record is from RNAcentral. Lineage: Bacteria; Bacillati; Bacillota; Clostridia; Thermosediminibacterales; Thermosediminibacteraceae.